This 90-nucleotide non-coding RNA is filed under the name Scandinavium goeteborgense. The record is from RNAcentral. Lineage: Bacteria; Pseudomonadati; Pseudomonadota; Gammaproteobacteria; Enterobacterales; Enterobacteriaceae.
CUCAAUGGUGGAGCCGAGCGGGGGCGCCAUUAGGCGCACCGGUGUCCAGUGAGGCCGGGAGUUCCAACCCUGUUCGGUUCCGCCACCAAU